UCCGGUUUGUCACCGGCAGUCUCGCAUGAGUCCCCAACUGAAUGCUGGCAACAUGCGACGGGGGUUGCGCUCGUUGCGGGACUUAACCCAACAUCUCACGACACGAGCUGACGACAGCCAUGCAGCACCUGUCUUGGGACUCCGAAGAGGAACCGAUGUUUCCACCGGCUUUCCCGUGCAUGUCAAGCCUAGGUAAGGUUCUGCGCGUUGCGUCGAAUUAAACCACAUGCUCCACCGCUUGUGCGGGCCCCCGUCAAUUCCUUUGAGUUUCAGCCUUGCGGCCGUACUCCCCAGGCGGGGCACUUCAUGCGUUAGCUACGGCACAGAGGGGGUCGACACCCCCCACACCUAGCAUCCACAGUUUAGGGCGUGGACUAC
Molecule: unclassified non-coding RNA, 378 nt
Filed under: uncultured bacterium
Lineage: Bacteria
Description: contains 16S-23S intergenic spacer region
Source: RNAcentral